UAGGUUGAAGCCCGCUGGCUUGGGUGUUUAGUUGUUAACUAGAAUUAUACGGGAUCGAAGCCCGUCAGCCUAGU
RNAcentral lists this transfer RNA (74 nucleotides) under Lygodactylus capensis (Cape dwarf gecko). Its description in RNAcentral is "tRNA-Asn". The record is from RNAcentral. Lineage: Eukaryota; Metazoa; Chordata; Lepidosauria; Squamata; Gekkonidae.